UCAGCUGGUUAGAGCAGCGGAAUCAUAAUCCGCGUGUCCGGGGUUCAAGUCCCUGCACCG
Molecule: transfer RNA, 60 nt
Filed under: Candidatus Zixiibacteriota bacterium
Lineage: Bacteria; Pseudomonadati; Candidatus Zixiibacteriota
Description: candidate division Zixibacteria bacterium tRNA-Met
Rfam family: tRNA
About the family: Transfer RNA (tRNA) molecules are approximately 80 nucleotides in length. Their secondary structure includes four short double-helical elements and three loops (D, anti-codon, and T loops). Further hydrogen bonds mediate the characteristic L-shaped molecular structure. tRNAs have two regions of fundamental functional importance: the anti-codon, which is responsible for specific mRNA codon recognition, and the 3' end, to which the tRNAs corresponding amino acid is attached (by aminoacyl-tRNA synthetases). tRNAs cope with the degeneracy of the genetic code in two manners: having more than one tRNA (with a specific anti-codon) for a particular amino acid; and 'wobble' base-pairing, i.e. permitting non-standard base-pairing at the 3rd anti-codon position.
Source: RNAcentral